CCUCCCCGACGCCCCCGCGGAGCCGCGCGGGAGGGGCACCCGGCUGAGCGCCGGGACGCGGCCGCUGGACGGCAGCGGGCCGCCUGCCAGCUCCUGGAAGCCGAAGCCCGAAGGUGCUAUGUGGGCCCGAACGCCCCGCGACCCUGGUGAAUGCCAAGUCUCACCUGUCUCCCGAACGCCAGUUGCAGAGGAAAUGCCCAGCAAUAGGGCAAGGCUCCGUUGUUGGGGUUCUGGCACCUACAAGCUCAGAGAACUCAAUCUACAUGAUCUUUGGCCGACUGAAAAACACAAAACGCCGAAGUCUAUCCACGGCAGCUGGAGCCCUGUGAGUCAGUGGACAGGGCCCUGGAAAGAGAAGGGACACAUCGCUUCCCUGACAGCCUCCGGUGCGAAGCUGGGCAAAGGCCACCUUAACCUGGCUGAAGCUCAGCGAGCCUGUAUGCAAAGCAGGCGCGAACAUUUGAACUGCUGACUCCACACUCUGUGAGGAGGAGGCAGGUAAUGGAUGUGAGAACUCCGCACUUCCUUGUGCUCCUGCAGCUCGGGUGUUCAGAGUUAAGAGCGAAACAGGAGGGUCAGGUGGCCACUUACCAACUGGGCAGCCUUGGAACCUGAACAACUCUCCAGACCUCAGUAAAAGACUUCCAGAGUCCCGGUAAAAAGGGAGCAACCAUAGACAUUUAUGAUUGCCUCCUGAGGGGUCUCCAGAAAACUGAUCUAGAAGUUGAUUUUAAUUGGAACAGGCCCUGUACUACAUAAAGAGAUGGAGCACUGAUUUCCAAUAUGACAUUACUGCUUCCUCUAAAUUUACUGCUCCCUUCAAUGGAAACAGGAUUUAAUUCCUUAGCUUGCUGUGAUGCCAGCAGACUCCAGUCUGAAGAUUUUAUCUCUGAGAUUACUCCUAAUCUCCUCGCACAGUAGCAAGCCUUGUAGAAAUAUUGACGAUGUGGAAGAUAUCACUCAUUCUUCCUUUUCACUACAGCCCAAGUGUUCAUUAAGAGAUGAAUGGAUAAAGAAGAUGUGGUGUAUGUAUGUAUAUGUAGGUAUGUGUGUACGUAUGUAUGUAUGUUCAUAUAUAUACAAUGGAAUAUUAUUCAGCCAUGAAAAUAAUGACCUCUUGCCAUUUGCAACAACAGGAUGGAGCUAGAGAGUAUAAUGCUAAGUAAAAUAAGUCAAUCAGAGAAAGACAAAUAGCAUAUGAUGUCACACAGGUGCAAUUUAAGAAAGAAAAUAAAUGAGCAAAGGAAAAAAGAGAUAGAGAAAAACAAACCAAGAAAUAGAUUUUUUUUUAAUUUUUUAUUUUUUUAUAAACAUAUAUUUUUAUCCCCAGGGGUACAGGUCUGUGAAUCACCAGGUUUACACACUUCACAGCGCUCACCAAAGCACAUACCCUCCCCAAUGUCCAUAAUCCCACCCCCUUCUCCCAAACCCCCUCCCCCCGGCAACCCUCAGUUUGUUUUGUGAGAUUAAGAGUCACUUAUGGUUUGUCUCCCUCCCAAUCCCAUAGAGAACAAACUGAUGGUUACUAGAGGGGAGGCAGGUGGAGGGAUGAAUGAAAUAGGUGUAGGGGAUUAAGAGUACGUUCAUGGUGAUGAGCACUGAGUGAUAUGUGGAGUUGUUGAAUCACUAUAUUGUACACCUGAAACUAAGAGAACACCAUAUGUUAAAAUGAACUAGAAUUAAAAUAAAAAGCUUAAUUUAAAAAAAUUGGUUUUGCUUCCCUCUCCCAACCAUGGGACCCUGCCAUGUUCUAGAGUAAAUAGAGCUUAUUUCCCUGCCUCAGUAACUCUGGAUGGGUCUGUGUGAGUU
Mustela lutreola (European mink) is the source of this 1809-nucleotide long non-coding RNA. RefSeq lists it as uncharacterized. The transcript is spliced from 3 exons. The record is from RefSeq and is a predicted model, not a curated record. Lineage: Eukaryota; Metazoa; Chordata; Mammalia; Carnivora; Mustelidae.